RNAcentral lists this ribosomal RNA (169 nucleotides) under uncultured bacterium. RNAcentral's name for it is "partial 16S ribosomal RNA". It matches the Rfam family "Bacterial small subunit ribosomal RNA", at positions 1333 to 1500 of the family's 1533-position model. The record is from RNAcentral.
CGCUAGUAAUCGCGGAUCAGAAUGCCGCGGUGAAUACGUUCCCGGGUCUUGUACACACCGCCCGUCACACCAUGGGAGUCGGAAAUGCCCGAAGUCUGUGACCCAACCAUUAAGGAGGGAGCAGCCGAAGGCAGGUCGGAUGACUGGGGUGAAGUCGUAACAAGGUAGC